GCCAGAUUAGCUUAAUUCGGUAAAGCAGUAAUUUUGUAAAUUACGUAUUAUGGAUUCAAAUUCCGUAUCUGGCU
Molecule: transfer RNA, 74 nt
Filed under: Coemansia sp. RSA 2610
Lineage: Eukaryota; Fungi; Kickxellomycota; Kickxellomycetes; Kickxellales; Kickxellaceae
Also listed under: 4 other names
Description: tRNA-Thr
Rfam family: tRNA
About the family: Transfer RNA (tRNA) molecules are approximately 80 nucleotides in length. Their secondary structure includes four short double-helical elements and three loops (D, anti-codon, and T loops).
Source: RNAcentral